Cinara cedri is the source of this 376-nucleotide non-coding RNA. NCBI's taxonomy places the organism in Eukaryota, Metazoa, Arthropoda, Insecta, Hemiptera, Aphididae. The record is from the annotation of a GenBank genome assembly.
CCCCAGCCAUGUUAGUUUGUGGAUUAUCUGGUAAAUUAAGAGACAAUGAGAUAAAUGUACCAUUGUACCAUACAAUGUUCGAGGAUUUUUGAAGUACGUUAAAUUUUCUAUCUGAAAAUUCACCGAGAUGUUGUUGGGAACCAAUUGGUAUUUUUUAUUACAAAGGUCGGCCAAUUAUUGAAUUACCGUUGUCGGAUUUAAACAAUUAUUUCUCGUUUUCUUCUUAAUAUUCACCCCGUAGUUUUUAUUCGUCCCAUUUUACGUUGAUUUUGAACUACAGAUGUUUACCCACUUUCUAAAAAAUAGCUUUUAUAAAAAAAACUUAUGAUAACUUAAAAUGUAUUUUCUGUUGAGUAGGUUAAUAAUACGUUGUUCA